UUUAGCCAUGCUAGUUGUACGAGUUGAGACUCGUAGCGUAUAGCUCAGUAACACGUGGCCAAACUACCCUACAGACCGCAAUAACCUCGGGAAACUGAGGCCAAUGGCGGAUACAGCUUCCACGCUGGAACUGCAGGAAGCUGGAAAUGCGCCAGCGCUGUAGGAUGUGGCUGCGGCCGAUUAGGUAGACGGUGGGGUAACGGCCCACCGUGCCAAUAAUCGGUACGGGUCGUGAGAGCGAGAGCCCGGAGACGGUAUCUGAGACAAGAUACCGGGCCCUACGGGGCGCAGCAGGCGCGAAACCUUUACACUGCACGGAAGUGCGAUAGGGGAAUCCCAAGUGCGAGGGCAUAUUAGCCCUCGCUUUUCUCGACUGUAAGGUGGUCGACGAAUAAGAGCUGGGCAAGACCGGUGCCAGCCGCCGCGGUAAUACCGGCAGCUCAAGUGAUGUCCCAUAUUAUUGGGCCUAAAGCGUCCGUAGCUGGCCGACCAAGUCUACCGGGAAAUCCACCCGCCCAACGGGUGGGCGUCCGGUAGAAACUGGCCGGCUUGGAACCGGAAGGCUCAGAGAGUACGUCCGGGGUAGGAGUGAAAUCCCGUAAUCCGGGACGGACUACCGAUGGCGAAAGCACUCUGAGAAGACGGCUUCGACAGUGAGGGACGAAAGCUCGGGUCUCAAACCGGAUUAGAUACCCGGGUAGUC
Molecule: ribosomal RNA, 703 nt
Filed under: uncultured archaeon
Lineage: Archaea
Description: bacterial SSU rRNA
Rfam family: Archaeal small subunit ribosomal RNA
Source: RNAcentral